RNAcentral lists this ribosomal RNA (253 nucleotides) under uncultured bacterium. Its description in RNAcentral is "partial 16S ribosomal RNA". It matches the Rfam family "Bacterial small subunit ribosomal RNA", at positions 524 to 776 of the family's 1533-position model. The record is from RNAcentral.
UACGAAGGGGGCUAGCGUUGUUCGGAUUUACUGGGCGUAAAGCGCACGUAGGCGGAUUUGUCAGUCAGGGGUGAAAUCCCGGGGCUCAACCUCGGAACUGCCUCCGAUACAGCAAAUCUCGGGUCCGGAAGAGGUGAGUGGAAUUCCUAGUGUAGAGGCGAAAUUCGUAGAUAUUAGGAAGAACACCAGUGGCGAAGGCGGCUCACUGGUCCGGUACUGACGCUGAGGUGCGAAAGCGUGGGGAGCAAACAGG